This 232-nucleotide ribosomal RNA is filed under the name uncultured bacterium. RNAcentral's name for it is "partial 16S ribosomal RNA". It matches the Rfam family "Bacterial small subunit ribosomal RNA", at positions 15 to 229 of the family's 1533-position model. The record is from RNAcentral.
GAUCAUGGCUCAGGACGAACGCUGGCGGCGCGCCUAGCACAUGCAAGUCGAACGGAGAUUACAGGCGGAAGUUUUCGGAUGGAAGCUUGUAAACUUAGUGGCGGACGGGUGAGUAACACGUGAGCAACCUGCCUAUCAGAGGGGGAUAACGAUUGGAAACGAUCGCUAAUACCGCAUGACAUAGCGAAACCGCAUGGUUUUGCUAUCAAAGAUUUUAUCGCUGAUAGAUGGG